GGCGUGCUUANACAUGCAAGUCGAACGAUGAAGCUGGAGCUUGCUCCGGCGGAUUAGUGGCGAACGGGUGAGUAACACGUGAGCAAUCUGCCCUUGACUCUGGGAUAACUGCGGGAAACUGUAGCUAAUACCGGAUACUUUCCUCGCUGGGCAUCCAGCGGGGAAGAAAGAAUUUCGGUCAAGGAUGAGCUCGCGGCCUAUCAGCUAGUUGGUGAGGUAAUGGCUCACCAAGGCGACGACGGGUAGCCGGCCUGAGAGGGUGACCGGCCACACUGGAACUGAGACACGGUCCAGACUCCUACGGGAGGCAGCAGUGGGGAAUAUUGCACAAUGGGCGAAAGCCUGAUGCAGCAACGCCGCGUGAGGGAUGAAGGCCUUCGGGUUGUAAACCUCUUUUAGCAGGGAAGAAGCGAAAGUGACGGUACCUGCAGAAAAAGCACCGGCUAACUACGUGCCAGCAGCCGCGGUAAUACGUAGGGUGCAAGCGUUGUCCGGAAUUAUUGGGCGUAAAGAGCUCGUAGGCGGUUUGUCACGUCUGCUGUGAAAUUCCGAGGCUCAACCUCGGACUUGCAGUGGGUACGGGCAGGCUAGAGUGCGGUAGGGGAGAUGGGAAUUCCUGGUGUAGCGGUGGAAUGCGCAGAUAUCAGGAGGAACACCAAUGGCGAAGGCACAUCUCUGGGCCGUAACUGACGCUGAGGAGCGAAAGCGUGGGGAGCAAACAGGAUUAGAUANCCUGGUAGUCCACGCCGUAAACGGUGGGUGCUAGCUGUGGGNCACAUUC
This 781-nucleotide ribosomal RNA is filed under the name Candidatus Aquiluna rubra. RNAcentral describes it as "bacterial SSU rRNA". It matches the Rfam family "Bacterial small subunit ribosomal RNA", at positions 41 to 834 of the family's 1533-position model. The record is from RNAcentral. Lineage: Bacteria; Bacillati; Actinomycetota; Actinomycetes; Micrococcales; Microbacteriaceae.